This 446-nucleotide ribosomal RNA is filed under the name uncultured bacterium. RNAcentral describes it as "partial 16S ribosomal RNA". It matches the Rfam family "Bacterial small subunit ribosomal RNA", at positions 330 to 792 of the family's 1533-position model. The record is from RNAcentral.
UCCAGACUCCUACGGGAGGCAGCAGUGGGGAAUAUUGCACAAUGGGGGAAACCCUGAUGCAGCAACGCCGCGUGAGUGAGGAAGUAUUUCGGUAUGUAAAGCUCUAUCAGCAGGGAAUAGAAAAGAAGGUACCUGAAAAAGAAGCCCCGGCUAACUACGUGCCAGCAGCCGCGGUAAUACGUAGGGGGCAAGCGUUAUCCGGAUUUACUGGGUGUAAAGGGGGCGCAGACGGCAAUGCAAGCCAGGAGUGAAAGCCCGGGGCCCAACCCCGGGACUGCUCUUGGAACUGCAUGGCUGGAGUACAGGAGGGGCAGGCGGAAUUCCUAGUGUAGCGGUGAAAUGCGUAGAUAUUAGGAGGAACACCGGUGGCGAAGGCGGCCUGCUGGACUGUGACUGACGUUGAGGCCCGAAGGCGUGGGGAGCAAACAGGAUUAGAUACCCUAGUA